CGGAACGGGUGAGUAACGCGUGAGGAACCUGCCUCAAAGAGGGGGACAACAGUUGGAAACGACUGCUAAUACCGCAUAAGCCCACGGUGCCGCAUGGCACAGAGGGAAAAGGAGCAAUCCGCUUUGAGAUGGCCUCGCGUCCGAUUAGCUAGUUGGUGAGGUAACGGCCCACCAAGGCGACGAUCGGUAGCCGGACUGAGAGGUUGAACGGCCACAUUGGGACUGAGACACGGCCCAG
This 238-nucleotide ribosomal RNA is filed under the name uncultured bacterium. Its description in RNAcentral is "partial 16S ribosomal RNA". It matches the Rfam family "Bacterial small subunit ribosomal RNA", at positions 100 to 334 of the family's 1533-position model. The record is from RNAcentral.